RNAcentral lists this long non-coding RNA (661 nucleotides) under Elaeis guineensis (African oil palm). RNAcentral's name for it is "long non-coding RNA (EGUI_LNC065838)". Lineage: Eukaryota; Viridiplantae; Streptophyta; Magnoliopsida; Arecales; Arecaceae. The record is from RNAcentral.
CCCACGACUAACAAUUGACUAACAGGCAGACGACCUAUUCAGACAGCUAAUCGGUGUAGGCCUGACAAUCUCUGAUUUCCAUCAAUAACAAAGGCCAAAAGAGAUCCUGCAGGUAUGAAACUCCUUCCUCUCAAUAUGCUCACUCCUUUCUUCCUGUUACCAAAAAUUUAACUUCGUAAGAAAAUCCUCGUCAGAGUCAUCUCCGACGAAAACUCCCUUUGCAGGUACCGUUGCCACCACCAUCACGCCAUUGCCCACUAGUUGUUACUAUCCAACUCCAGUUAUCCCAACCUCAAGAUAGAUUUCCGCAUCAACAAAUCUUUUGCUAAUAUUUUCUACUCAUGUUUUGCUGAAGUCAUCUCAUCUUCAUUUGAUAACUUCUCAACUACUAUUCACCUUGAUGCACAAAACGAGACUCAUAAGGAUGCAUUGGCAAAUUCCUUCCAAUAUAAAAUACAAUCAUUGAGGCAUAUAUGAAUUAUUUUCAUACCAUAAUCCAAAAUCUCCAAUUAUCUUCUUCACUUCAUAAAAGUCUCUUGGCAAUAUUUCACCAUUCGAAAGUGUCUUAUUUAUGAAUUGGAGCAAUAAUGUAAAUGAAUUAUUGCUCUAAUCAUUUUUACACUUUAUGUGAAGUGAACAAUUAAAAACAGCCCGCCGAACU